This 253-nucleotide ribosomal RNA is filed under the name uncultured bacterium. RNAcentral describes it as "partial 16S ribosomal RNA". It matches the Rfam family "Bacterial small subunit ribosomal RNA", at positions 524 to 776 of the family's 1533-position model. The record is from RNAcentral.
UACGGAGGGUGCAAACGUUGCUCGGAAUCAUUAGGCGUAAAGCGCACGUAGGCGGCUCGUUAAGUCGGAUGUGAAAGCCCUCGGCUCAACCGAGGAAGUGCAUACGAAACUGGCGAGCUUGAAUAUGGAAGAGGGUCGCGGAAUUCCCGGUGUAGAGGUGAAAUUCGUAGAUAUCGGGAGGAACACCAGUGGCGAAGGCGGCGACCUGGGCCAAUAUUGACGCUGAGGUGCGAAAGCGUGGGGAGCAAACAGG